AAUUUGGUGCUUGCACCAGAUGAAACUAGAUACAAGCGAGCGGCGGACGGGUGAGUAACACGUGGGUAACCUGCCCAAGAGACUGGGAUAACACCUGGAAACAGAUGCUAAUACCGGAUAACAACACUAGACGCAUGUCUAGAGUUUAAAAGAUGGUUCUGCUAUCACUCUUGGAUGGACCUGCGGUGCAUUAGCUAGUUGGUAAGGUAGCGGCUUACCAAGGCAAUGAUGCAUAGCCGAGUUGAGAGACUGAUCGGCCACAUUGGGACUGAGACACGGCCCAAACUCCUACGGGAGGCAGCAGUAGGGAAUCUUCCACAAUGGACGCAAGUCUGAUGGAGCAACGCCGCGUGAGUGAAGAAGGGUUUCGGCUCGUAAAGCUCUGUUGGUAGUGAAGAAAGAUAGAGGUAGUAACUGGCCUUUAUUUGACGGUAAUUACUUAGAAAGUCACGGCUAACUACGUGCCAGCAGCCGCGGUAAUACGUAGGUGGCAAGCGUUGUCCGGAUUUAUUGGGCGUAAAGCGAGUGCAGGCGGUUCAAUAAGUCUGAUGUGAAAGCCUUCGGCUCAACCGGAGAAUUGCAUCAGAAACUGUUGAACUUGAGUGCAGAAGAGGAGAGUGGAACUCCAUGUGUAGCGGUGGAAUGCGUAGAUAUAUGGAA
This 660-nucleotide ribosomal RNA is filed under the name uncultured Bacilli bacterium. Its description in RNAcentral is "bacterial SSU rRNA". It matches the Rfam family "Bacterial small subunit ribosomal RNA", at positions 70 to 703 of the family's 1533-position model. Lineage: Bacteria; Bacillati; Bacillota; Bacilli. The record is from RNAcentral.